This 497-nucleotide ribosomal RNA is filed under the name uncultured bacterium. RNAcentral's name for it is "partial 16S ribosomal RNA". It matches the Rfam family "Bacterial small subunit ribosomal RNA", at positions 28 to 507 of the family's 1533-position model. The record is from RNAcentral.
GAUGAACGCUGGCGGCGUGCCUAAUACAUGCAAGUCGAGCGAACAGACGAGGAGCUUGCUCCUCUGACGUUAGCGGCGGACGGGUGAGUAACACGUGGAUAACCUACCUAUAAGACUGGGAUAACUUCGGGAAACCGGAGCUAAUACCGGAUAAUAUAUUGAACCGCAUGGUUCAAUAGUGAAAGACGGUUUUGCUGUCACUGAUAGAUGGAUCCGCGCCGCAUUAGCUAGUUGGUAAGGUAACGGCUUACCAAGGCAACGAUGCGUAGCCGACCUGAGAGGUUGAUCGGCCACACUGGAACUGAGACACGGUCCAGACUCCUACGGGAGGCAGCAGUAGGGAAUCUUCCGCAAUGGGCGAAAGCCUGACGGAGCAACGCCGCGUGAGUGAUGAAGGUCUUCGGAUCGUAAAACUCUGUUAUUAGGGAAGAACAAAUGUGUAAGUAACUAUGCACGUCUUGACGGUACCUAAUCAGAAAGCCACGGCUAACUACGUG